This 270-nucleotide ribosomal RNA is filed under the name uncultured Coprococcus sp. RNAcentral describes it as "partial 16S ribosomal RNA". It matches the Rfam family "Bacterial small subunit ribosomal RNA", at positions 67 to 339 of the family's 1533-position model. The record is from RNAcentral. Lineage: Bacteria; Bacillati; Bacillota; Clostridia; Lachnospirales; Lachnospiraceae.
UUCGGUUUGAAGUCUUUUAUGACUGAGUGGCGGACGGGUGAGUAACGCGUGGGUAACCUGCCUCAUACAGGGGGAUAGCAGCUGGAAACGGCUGGUAAUACCGCAUAAGCGCACGGUAUCGCAUGAUACAGUGUGAAAAACUCCGGUGGUAUGAGAUGGACCCGCGUCUGAUUAGCUGGUUGGUGAGGUAACGGCCCACCAAGGCGACGAUCAGUAGCCGACCUGAGAGGGUGACCGGCCACAUUGGGACUGAGACACGGCCCAGACUCC